This 452-nucleotide ribosomal RNA is filed under the name uncultured bacterium. Its description in RNAcentral is "bacterial SSU rRNA". It matches the Rfam family "Bacterial small subunit ribosomal RNA", at positions 28 to 505 of the family's 1533-position model. The record is from RNAcentral.
GAUGAACGCUGGCGGUGCGCCUAAUACAUGCAAGUCGAACGAGAACCACACGUAGUUUACUACAUCGUGGGGACAGUGGCGGACGAGUGAGUAACACGUAAGAAUCUGCCCCGAACUCAGGGACAACCUUCCGAAAGGAAGGCUAAUACCGGAUGCCCUCGCAAGAGGAAAGAUUUAUCGGUUCGGGAGGAGCUUGCGGCCUAUCAGCUUGUUGGUGAGGUAAAAGCUCACCAAGGCUAUGACGGGUAGCUGAUCUGAGAGGAUGAUCAGCCACGAUGGGACUGAGACACGGCCCAUACUCCUACGGGAGGCAGCAGUAGGGAAUCUUCCGCAAUGGACGAAAGUCUGACGGAGCGACACCGCGUGGAGGAUGAAGGCCUUAGGGUCGUAAACUCCUUUUCUGGGGGAAGAAGUUCUGACGGUACCCCAGGAAUAAGCCCCGGCUAAUUACG